GACGAACGCUGGCGGCGUGCCUAACACAUGCAAGUCGAGCGGGGUCCAUCCGGUGGCAACACCGGGGAAGACCUAGCGGCGAACGGGUGAGUAACACGUGAGAAACCUGCCCCGAAAUCUGGGAUAACCCGAGGAAACUCGGGCUAAUACCGGAUGCCCUUCACCAAUCGCAUGGUCGGUGAAGGAAAGAAUUUCGUUUCGGGAGGGUCUCGCGGCCUAUCAGCUAGUUGGUGGGGUAACGGCCCACCAAGGCAUCGACGGGUAGCUGGUCUGAGAGGACGAUCAGCCACACUGGGACUGAGACACGGCCCAGACUCCUACGGGAGGCAGCAGUGGGGAAUCUUGCGCAAUGGGCGAAAGCCUGACGCAGCAACGCCGCGUGCGGGAUGAAGGCCUUCGGGUUGUAAACCGCUUUCAGCAGGGACGAAUUUUGACGGUACCUGCAGAAGAAGCCCCGGCCAACUACGUGCCAGCCGCCGCCGUAAAAC
RNAcentral lists this ribosomal RNA (488 nucleotides) under uncultured bacterium. RNAcentral describes it as "bacterial SSU rRNA". It matches the Rfam family "Bacterial small subunit ribosomal RNA", at positions 28 to 526 of the family's 1533-position model. The record is from RNAcentral.